AAGUCGUAACAAGGUCUCCGUUGGUGAACCAGCGGAGGGAUCAUUAAAGAGUUGAAAAACUCCAACCCCUGUGAACCUUACCUCUGUCGUUGCUUCGGCGGCUGGACGCCCCCCCUAACGGGUCGGCGGACGCCGCCGGAGGUCACAAACUCUGAAUUUUUAGUGUAUCUCUGAGCCUAAAAACAAAUAAUUAAAACUUUCAACAACGGAUCUCUUGGUUCUG
This 223-nucleotide unclassified non-coding RNA is filed under the name Kohlmeyeriopsis medullaris. RNAcentral's name for it is "partial internal transcribed spacer region". The stretch from base 1 to 46 matches the Rfam family "Eukaryotic small subunit ribosomal RNA", at positions 1786 to 1831 of the family's 1831-position model. The record is from RNAcentral. Lineage: Eukaryota; Fungi; Ascomycota; Sordariomycetes; Magnaporthales; Magnaporthaceae.